Molecule: long non-coding RNA, 2849 nt
Filed under: Sus scrofa (pig)
Lineage: Eukaryota; Metazoa; Chordata; Mammalia; Artiodactyla; Suidae
Description: lncRNA (ENSSSCG00000054792.1)
Source: RNAcentral
AGUCACAGAAGAUCAGCUGAUUCUGAAGCAAUCAAUGCAAUUGUCAUUAUCAAUGGGUGACUAGAGUCUGACGACAGUAGCAUGACAUCCUAGGAGCAUAAAAAUCCAUUCACUACGGAAGUGGGAGUCAAUGCAUAUACACAAAAUGUGCUGUUUUUUAAAUUAUUCCACUAUUCUCCCAACUGUAUAAACAUAAUCACCUGAAAUUGCAGACUUGAAACUUUUUAUCCUUAAUGAUAAUGUCUGAAGCAGAAAUGACCCAAGCAGAUUUUCAGAAGGUGCAUUAGCAUGGAGUUGUAAAGCCAAGGACAGUAUAAGGGGAAAGUUUGAAUUUUCCAACUAAUGAGCAGUAAUGUAACACAUACUUACCAUUUAACUGGGACUUAAAACUGUUAUUUUCUUUUCUGGACUGGAUUCCCCACAAGAUGACAUUUUAAAAUAAACUUCUUAUUAUGCUUAAUAAGCUUAAAAUAAUAUGCCACCAUUAAUUAAAUCUGGAAGGUAAAUCAGCAUUUUGAUCUUGUCCAAAAUUCUUUAAGAUGAGCCCAAUAAGUUAUUCUUUCUAUAUCUAAUAUUUCAGAUUCAUCCAAAGGAGGAGAGAUGCAUAUAUAAAUAACAAAAAAAGUCAAAGUUAAGUAGUAGGAGAGUACAUUUUCCCUUAAAGUUAUCUUCACAACUUUUGAUACACUAAUAUAUUUAUAGUAGGACUCCUGAAACCAAUUCUAGAAUAUAAUUGGAAUACUACUUCUAAAUAAAAAUGUAGUGCCUUUGUUCUAAUUGUCAUAAUAGAGAAGCCAGUUCAUUAAUUUCUGUAGCAUCUCAGCUGAACCAUGUAACUUUCUCUUAUAACAGCUCUAAAUCUAAUAUCACUUCAUGUUUUUUGAUCACACCCAUGACAUGCGGAAAUUCCUAGGCCAGGUACCGAACCCACACCAAAGCAGCAACCCAAGCUGUUUCAGUGAGAACACCAGAUCCUUUACCCACUGAGCCACAAGAGAACUCCCUCACACAGUUUUAUUUACAUUUUUUGUACUCAUGUUACAUUUUUUAUUUAAAAUAUAUUUUGUGUUUCACACAGAAAACAACAAAGAUUAUCUCCAGUCACUAAGCUACUUGCUUAGGGCUAUCUUUUUGAAUGGGGGCCCUUGUAUUUUUCAGCAGUUAAAAGUUUUUCAUGUUUCUCUCUCAUUUCCUUAGAUAUUCCCACUAAGAAAAAUAGUACUUUACAGGUAUCAUGGACCAGGAAGCAAAACUUCAUCAUCAUUAGAGUGACUCCAAGUGCUAAGAAAGAUAGAUAAAAGUUCACUGUUUCCAUGACAUCCAAAGAAAGAAGUAAACAUUUCUGAUGUUUCCUGCAGAAAACAAGGGAACUUUUGCUUUAGAGAGAGUGACACUUUUAACUGUAGAACUGACACCUGGGUGUUUUUUCUAUCUGUUUUUGGUUUUGUUUUGUUUUUGUUUUUGUUUUUGCUUUUUUAGGGCUGCACCACAGCAUAUGGAAGUUCCCAGGCUAGGGGUCGAGUCAGAGCUACAGCUGCGAAUCUACACCACAACCACAGCAAGGUGGGAUCUGAGCCGCAUCUGUGACCCACAUCACAGCUCACAGCAGUGCCGGAUCUAUAACCCACUGAGCAAGGCCAGGGAUUGAACCUGCAUCCUCACAGAUAUUAGUUGGAUAUGUUUCCAUUCACCACAGUGGGAAUUCUAAUGUGUGAUAUUAUUAACUAUUCUCUUUGUUAAAUAAAACUCAGUGGCCUGUGAAACAUGACUUAAAACUGCUCAUAGCACAAUCUAUCCAACUUAUUUUGAAGUUUUAAAUAAGCAGACCCAAUGGGUAAAACAAACAAUAUUGUAGUUUAAAGUGAGACAGUAAAAUCCCAUUUUCAGGCAGUUUUUCAUGAUAUUACAUAGAUAUUAAAUAUAACUUCGUUUAAAAUACAAUUAAAUUGCUACUACUACGUAUUCAAGGAGGCAACUUUUUUCUAUGCUCUUCGAUGAGAACUCCUGCCACCUGCCUUACCAUCUGAUGGGUGCCUGCAGACCUACUCAGUAUGUUCUCUCAAAGACAGAGAUACUCGGAAUGAAAAUGAUUUCAAAACUUGCCUCCCUAGGGUCAUAAAUAGUCUACCUCUCCUAGGUUCUAGCAGUUGCUUUAAAGGAUUUUAUCAGCCUCAAAAUCAGGGGAAAAUAAAUGGAUAACUCAUAGGAAAAGGUAGAGAAAAUUAGGUAAUUUCCAACCCCAGUUAGAAAGAAACUUCAGGAUCCCUUUGUUCCUGAGCUGGGUUCUUGGACCCUUUAAUUAAUAGAAAUUGAUAAGAGCCAAGACUAGAAAUUCAGGCAAAGCUUUAUGGGGGCUCCUCCUGUAGCACAAGGGAGUAAAAACAAGCAAUGGGUCCCCUUGCUCAUUUCCUGACCAGAGAGUGAGCUGGCUCCUUACUUGGGCUGAGGGUAAGGGCGAGUCCAGGGGCUGGGCAGGAGGGUGACUUGUGUGGUCCGCCCACCCCCUUGGUGGUGCUGUGUGCAGGGUGCUGUGCAGUGCCCUGCUCUUGCUCCUGACACCUUAGAAGUGGCAGUUGGGAUGUUGGUCUUUUUGUAUCCUGUCGAUAAUUUGCCUCAACUGCCCUUGCAUGCAGUUAUUUUUAGUCCCUUAUAGUUUCUUCAUAUUCCAUUUCUCUGGGAGACAUUUACCCUGUUGCAAGCAAUGCAACAAAGUGUCCUAAGUCCCAGGUCCCAGUCCUUCUCACUUUCAUCCCACCCCAUACUUUACAGAUGAAGAACCUCAACUCAGAUGGUGGAGUGACUCUCUGAACUAAUUAGUGGAUGCAAAAAAAAAAAAAAAAAAAAAAAAA